CUUCAGGAAUAAUUUGGAUAUACUGGGAUUUUUUUUAAAAAAGGAAAGCAACAGAAAAUAAAGUACAGGUAACUAAAGAUUGUGAUGCCAUGCCCCACCUGUGAUGCACACAGCUAAGAGGGAACUCCAAGGUAUCAUAGAAUUUGGUAAGAUGGAAACUAACGCAGAGACCCAUACCUGGUCAGGAUGCGGGGCGUACAGGCUGUGGGAUGAAUGUUCAGCCAUGAAGUGGGCAGCUGUGUCACAUCCUCUAUUUCCAAGGGGCAGAGAUGAUGGCAGAAGAGGAGGUGACAUGAUUGACUGUCUGGAGACAGUGGGUGACCACAAGGAAACAGUGAUUUCUGGACAAGAGCGGGUCAGUUGCACAGAUGACAGCGUGCACACAGACUCUACACUCAAGCUCAAGGCAGACAAAAUCCCAGUGUGGACAGAGGAGAACCAGAAUGCAAUGGAUGACAGCUGUAAUCCAGCCUCCAUUCAUGGGGUUCCAUUCAUGCUUCCAGGAUUGUAAAAGGACAUGAUCUCUGAAGAAAAUCAGCAGCAGCAUUCUCAGGGGCCUGUGACUGGAAAACAUGCAAGCAGUGCUGGGCCUGCCAGGAGCAGAUGUGUUCUCUAGCUCUGGACUUGGAAGAAAGCAUGGCUGCAGCAUGCCAGGCAGGAGGCUGCUGCUUCCCAACGUCGGCAGCAAGCCUCUCUCGUCCCUUCAUCUAACUGGAAGCAUGGCUGCUUCCUCUUGCCAAAGGCAGGCUGUCUUGAAUUGCAGGGGUGGAUUGCUGUGAUUA
Molecule: long non-coding RNA, 782 nt
Filed under: Cricetulus griseus (Chinese hamster)
Lineage: Eukaryota; Metazoa; Chordata; Mammalia; Rodentia; Cricetidae
Description: lncRNA (ENSCGRG00015036218.1)
Source: RNAcentral